CCGCCGCGGUAGUAACAAUUUAGAAGCCCAAGCUUAGCAACAGCACGUGGUGGCCCGGCCCACGAGCUCGCUGAAUGGCGGCUGGUGUGCAUGUUAAGUAGGCACUACGAGCCGAUUGGUCCAGAGAGGUCUAUGUAAAAUAGGGACCACGGACCAAUGGCCGGGGGUGCGCGGCCAAUGAGGGCGCCCCGGCUGGACGCGUUGCUGAGAGGAAGCGGAGCUUGGUGGGGCAACCGCGGUGGGGCUGCCAGCCGUCCUGCCACGCGCAAGGGCCCGUUAGAGCGCGGGGGUGUGCCUCAUGCGCCCGGCGGUCCGCUGGGUCUGCGCACUGUGCGUAGGAACCUGUUGCCUCCGGCCGGCUGCAACACUAGGUCCGCGGGAGCGCUUGACCUCGAGGUCUCCUCGGAGCCUGGCAUGGGGCUGCAAAGCUACACCCCUGCCCGCGGAACGGAGGGACCCCAAAAAGGCCGGGUCUGGAGGAGGGCGUUGACGGUCUGAGACUAAGAGCCAGGUCUCCUUGAGGAUCUCAACGGGCAAACAGGCCCAGGAAGGGAUUGGCCCAGUGGACCGCAGGGCCCAAGGAGGGGCCCAAGGCCUAAAGAGGGGGUCAGUGAUCUGCCGCCACACUCGAUGAGGAAACUGAGAACCCUGAGGUUUAGGGACUUCCAGGGUCUAGCGGCAAUCCCAGCAGCAUGGAGAUCAGUGCCCCCACACACAUGACCCAGAGCUGGUGACACCGGAGCUUGGAGACCAAGCCACCUCCUGGGCCCAUAAGAGUUGCUGGAGGUAGGAGCCACGGCGUAGCAACACCCAGUGGGGAACCCCGAUACUAACAUCAGACGUCCCUGAAGGGACACUGAAACGACACUGAUGUUAACCCCGGCCCCUCCUGCUCCUGCUCCAGUCACCUAGGGCCAGGUGCAGGAGCUGUGCAGGGGAAGGCAGGGUGCUCAGUUUGGGGGAGGAGCAGGUGCACUCUGGGUUCGGCGGUAGAGGCCUAACCCAGGCUCACCACCUGGUGGCCAGAAGUUUGCAAGGUCACUCCAUCCCUUCUGUGAGGCGUGGGUUGCUGGCCCCUGCCCGCCGGAGAGGAGAGGGGGUGGUCCCCACCUCGCCUGAAUCUACAUCUAGGCCUUUUCGGGGACUUCUCCCUCAGCCAUUUCGCGACAGAGCACUGCCGGAUCCCCCGAGGGAACACAAAACCCUUAAAAAACGUCUAGAAGAGGACUUCCUCGCCUCUUGCGCGUUUCCAGGGCCCUGUUCCCUUUCUCUGCACCCAGGAUGGCUCCACCACCACACACGACGUGCGGCUCUCAGCACAGCAUGGAAGCACCCUGUCCUGGGGUGGGAAGGUCUGCGAGGCCCCCUCUCCUCCGGGGCCUCCUCACACUUUCAGGACGACCUAGCCCAAACCCAUCUGCUCCCUUACCUCGGCGCUGGCGUGGACUCCCUGCUGACACCCAAGUCCCCGCGCCAGCAUUCCGGCUGCAAGUGAGGGGCUGCCCUGCCCACCUGGGGGCCCACGGCCUCGCUCUGGGGGCAGCAGGUUUGGGCAGGUAGCUCCCUGCAGGCCGGUUCUGGGUCUGAGGGGCCCAGGGACAGACAGCCCAGCCUACGGUCACCAGGUGCUGGGAGGCCAUGUCUAGCCCAGCAGUGCAACAGCCUCCCAGAAGCCUUGAGUCUCCUGCCCUGAGAUGCCCAGUGUACACAGGAUCAGGGCAGAGUCCUGAGGGGCUCUGUCCCUGGUGCUUCCCCCACAGCCGCCCAGGAUUCCAGUCUGACCGCAGGACCUGUAAAACAGUUGGUGCCUGCCUCUCGAGUUGGUUGUGGGGUGCGAUGAAGGUUGCACGAAAGCCUGGGCGGCAGUGGGCUGCACGUAGGACCACCCAGGAAGUGGUGGUGAUGAGGGACUAUACAGAAAGUACUCAAAUCC
Manis pentadactyla (Chinese pangolin) is the source of this 1933-nucleotide long non-coding RNA. RefSeq lists it as uncharacterized. Lineage: Eukaryota; Metazoa; Chordata; Mammalia; Pholidota; Manidae. The record is from RefSeq and is a predicted model, not a curated record. The transcript is spliced from 3 exons.